UUACCGGCUAGAAACGACAGAGAUUCCUUCGGGCGCAGGUGCUGCAUGGCUGUCGUCAGCUCGUGUCGUGAGAUGUUGGGUUAAGUCCCGCAACGAGCGCAACCCUGUCUUUAUUGCCAUCAUAUGGGACUUUAAGAGACUACCGGCGUCAACCGGGGGAAGGUGGGGAUGACGUCAAGUCCUCAUGGCCUUGAUGCCGGGCUACACACGUACUACAAUGGGAUACAAGCGGCAUCGUGAGAUAAGCAAUCGCAAAAUCGCCUCAGUUCGGAUUGGAGGCUGCAACUCGCCUCCAUGAAGUUGGAAUCGCUAGUAAUCGCGAUCAGCAAGCGCGGUGAAUACGUUCCCGGGCCUUGUACACACCGCCCGUCACACCACGAAAGUUGGUGACCGAA
RNAcentral lists this ribosomal RNA (395 nucleotides) under uncultured bacterium. RNAcentral describes it as "bacterial SSU rRNA". It matches the Rfam family "Bacterial small subunit ribosomal RNA", at positions 971 to 1425 of the family's 1533-position model. The record is from RNAcentral.